RNAcentral lists this ribosomal RNA (301 nucleotides) under uncultured bacterium. Its description in RNAcentral is "partial 16S ribosomal RNA". It matches the Rfam family "Bacterial small subunit ribosomal RNA", at positions 509 to 807 of the family's 1533-position model. The record is from RNAcentral.
CAGUAGCCGCGGGAAUACGUAGGGUGCGAGCGUUGUCCGGAAUUAUUGGGCGUAAAGCGCGCGUAGGUGGUUCGCCAAGUUGGAUGUGAAAUCCCCGGGCUCAACCUGGGAACUGCAUCCAAAACUGGCGAGCUAGAGUAUGGUAGAGGGUGGUGGAAUUUCCUGUGUAGCGGUGAAAUGCGUAGAGAUCGGGAGGAACAUCAGUGGCGAAGGCGGCCAUCUGGGACAACACUGACGCUGAGGCACGAAAGCGUGGGGAGCAAACAGGAUUAGAUACCCCUGUAGUCCCUGUCUCUUAUAC